GAGUACGGCCGCAAGGCUGAAACUUAAAGGAAUUGGCGGGGGAGCACUACAACGGGUGGAGCCUGCGGUUUAAUUGGACUCAACGCCGGAAAACUCACCGGGGGCGACAGCAAUAUGUAGGUCAGGUUAAAGGUCUUACCUGAAUCGCUGAGAGGAGGUGCAUGGCCGUCGUCAGUUCGUACUGUGAAGCAUCCUGUUAAGUCAGGCAACGAGCAAGACCCGUGCCCACUGUUACCAGCAUAUCCUUUAUGGAUGAUGGGGACUCUGUGGGGACCGCUGCUGCUAAAGCAGAGGGAAGGUGCGGGCUACGGUAGGUCAGUAUGCCCCGAAUCUCCCGGGCUACACGCGGGCUACAAUGGUUGGGACAAUGGGUAUCUACUCCGAAAGGAGGAGUUGGCAAUCUCUUAAACCCAAUCGUAGUUCGAAUUGAGGGCUGUAACUCGCCCUCAUGAAGCUGGAAUCCGUAGUAAUCGCGUUUCAACAUAGCGCGGUGAAUCUGUCCCUGCUCCUUGCACACACCGCCCGUCAAACCAUCCGAGUGAGGUAUGGGUGAGGGCACGAACUUAGUGUCGUGCUCGAACCUAAAUUUCGCAAGGAGGGUUAAGUCGUAACAAGGUAGCCGUAGGGGAAUCUGCGGCUGGAUCACCUCCU
RNAcentral lists this ribosomal RNA (651 nucleotides) under uncultured archaeon. RNAcentral describes it as "bacterial SSU rRNA". It matches the Rfam family "Archaeal small subunit ribosomal RNA", at positions 833 to 1478 of the family's 1478-position model. The record is from RNAcentral.